Molecule: ribosomal RNA, 229 nt
Filed under: uncultured bacterium
Lineage: Bacteria
Description: partial 16S ribosomal RNA
Rfam family: Bacterial small subunit ribosomal RNA
Source: RNAcentral
UGCGUAGGCGGUUAGAUAAGUCAGAGGCGAAAGCCCGCAGCUCAACUGUGGAAUUGCCUUUGAUACUGUUUGACUUGAAUCAAGUUGAGGUUGGCGGAAUGUGACAUGUAGCGGUGAAAUGCAUAGAUAUGUCAUAGAACACCAAUUGCGAAGGCAGCUAACUAGACUUGUAUUGACGCUGAGGCACGAAAGCGUGGGGAGCAAACAGGAUUAGAUACCCUGGUAGUCC